UGGAGAAGUAAAAAAGAUGGAGCCAUCUGCUGCCAAGAGAGGAGAAGCAACUAUGAUUUGAUUUGCUCAGUGCCCACUCGUAUACUGGAGACCAGGAAGACAGCCAGGAAGGUGACGCAUGAUCUGGACUCAAUGCUCUGUUUAUAGGAGCUUCCUUCUUUCAGAGAACCAUGUGUGUCAGGUGCUUUCAAUCUUGCUGGGGAUGAUCUAGUUUAAUCAAUCCAAUAUUGAAAUUCCUCAUCACUAUCCCAGGGGAACAAAAGACAAAAUAAUUUUCUUUCUUAUUUCCAUCAAGUUGAAGGGAGGAUGCAGAUGUGACAGGAACAAGGUGAGAAUGUUUGAAACUCAUAUGCUAUCUGCCCAGGGCACUGAAAGCCAAAUCUGUCCCAGCUGAGACAGCAUAUGUAAUGCCGACAGGUGGAACCGAAUCUGGGACCUCUGGAGCUUAGUG
Non-coding RNA from Pelodiscus sinensis (Chinese soft-shelled turtle), 451 nucleotides. NCBI's taxonomy places the organism in Eukaryota, Metazoa, Chordata, Testudines, Trionychidae. The record is from RefSeq and is a predicted model, not a curated record.